This 429-nucleotide ribosomal RNA is filed under the name Triticum aestivum (bread wheat). Its description in RNAcentral is "partial small subunit ribosomal RNA". The record is from RNAcentral. Lineage: Eukaryota; Viridiplantae; Streptophyta; Magnoliopsida; Poales; Poaceae.
GGUGGAAAAUGCAAGAUUAAUUGGAAUCUCGUCUGCAAACCUAAACAGUUUGGUGGCCUAGGCGUGCUCAAUCUGGACAAAUUCGCUAAGGCCCUCCGUCUUCGAUGGCUUUGGUUUGAGUGGGUGGACAAAAGCAAGCCUUGGAUAGGCAUGGGAUCUCCAUGCACCGGAGACGACCGUAUCUUUUUUGGUGCUGCUACAACAGUUACAGUUGGAAACGGGCGCACAACAAGAUUCUGGAACUCGCCAUGGUUAAAUGGUUUGUGCCCCCGUGACUUAGCACCAAGCAUCUUUGCCAUUUCACGCAACAAGAAUUCCUCCGUCCAGCAAGCCCUUGCCAACAACAACUGGAUUUCUCUCAUUGACACCUCCAAUGGCUUGUCGCUCAUGUUCAACAGUUUGCUAACCUCUGGGAGAAUAUUUCCAUGA